UACAGAGGGUGCGAGCGUUAAUCGGAAUUACUGGGCGUAAAGCGACCGCAGGCGGCCUGACAAGUCGGAUGUGAAAGCCCUGGGCUCAACUCAGGAAUUGCAUUCGAAACUGGUAGGCUCGAGUACGGGAGAGGGGGGUGGAAUUCCUGGUGUAGGGGUGAAAUUCGUUGAUAUCAGGAGGAACACCGGUGGCGAAGGCGGGUCUCUGGGCCGAUACUGACGCUGAGGAGCGAAAGCAUGGGGAGCGAACAGG
This 253-nucleotide ribosomal RNA is filed under the name uncultured bacterium. Its description in RNAcentral is "partial 16S ribosomal RNA". It matches the Rfam family "Bacterial small subunit ribosomal RNA", at positions 524 to 776 of the family's 1533-position model. The record is from RNAcentral.